This is a non-coding RNA of Podarcis lilfordi (Lilford's wall lizard), 97 nucleotides long. Lineage: Eukaryota; Metazoa; Chordata; Lepidosauria; Squamata; Lacertidae. The record is from the annotation of a GenBank genome assembly.
CAUUUCAGAACUUCCUCCUAUUUCUGCGGUUCCUUAGUUAUAUUAUAUAUAAUAACUUUAAGGAACCGCAGAAAGGGGGAAGUCAAGUUUUGAAAUG